This is a non-coding RNA of Arabis alpina (gray rockcress), 106 nucleotides long. The record is from Rfam. Lineage: Eukaryota; Viridiplantae; Streptophyta; Magnoliopsida; Brassicales; Brassicaceae.
AUUCCAUGAUGAGGACAGCUUGUGGUGAAUCCUUUUAGACAUUCCCAAGCUUCAAUAAGGGAUUACUGACUGCCCUGCUCAAAACAGUUGAUAUUGCUUUUGUACU